CAGUAGCCGCGGUAAAACGGAGGAGGCUAGCGUUGUUCGGAAUUACUGGGCGUAAAGCGCGCGUAGGCGGCUUGGUAAGUUAGAGGUGAAAGCCUGGAGCUCAACUCCAGAAUUGCCUUUAAGACUGCCGAGCUAGCAGGUGAGAGAGGUAAGUGGAAUUCCGAGUGUAGAGGUGAAAUUCGUAGAUAUUCGGAAGAACACCAGUGGCGAAGGCGGCUUACUGGCUCAUACUGGACGCUGAGGUGCGAAAGCGUGGGGAGCAAACAGGAUUAGAUACCCGGGUAGUCCCUGUCUCUUAUAC
Molecule: ribosomal RNA, 301 nt
Filed under: uncultured bacterium
Lineage: Bacteria
Description: partial 16S ribosomal RNA
Rfam family: Bacterial small subunit ribosomal RNA
Source: RNAcentral